Molecule: small nuclear RNA, 140 nt
Filed under: Callithrix jacchus (white-tufted-ear marmoset)
Lineage: Eukaryota; Metazoa; Chordata; Mammalia; Primates; Cebidae
Description: U4 spliceosomal RNA (ENSCJAG00000038364.2)
Rfam family: U4 spliceosomal RNA
About the family: U4 small nuclear RNA (U4 snRNA) is a component of the major U2-dependent spliceosome.
Source: Rfam by way of RNAcentral
AGUUUUGCACAAUGGUGGUAUUGUAGUCAACGAGGUUUAUCCGAGGCACAAUUAUUGCUAACUGAGAACUUUUCCUAAUACCCUGCUAGAAUGAGGUGAAAUAUAGCUGACACUGCCAUUUUUGGCAGUCUCUACAGAGA